GGGCGCGUAGCUCAGCGGUAGAGCAUCCGCCUUUUAAGCGGAUGGCCCCAGGUUCGAUCCCUGGCGCGCCCACCA
Molecule: transfer RNA, 75 nt
Filed under: Rhodospirillales bacterium
Lineage: Bacteria; Pseudomonadati; Pseudomonadota; Alphaproteobacteria; Rhodospirillales
Description: tRNA-Lys
Rfam family: tRNA
About the family: Transfer RNA (tRNA) molecules are approximately 80 nucleotides in length.
Source: RNAcentral